Molecule: long non-coding RNA, 783 nt
Organism: Ornithorhynchus anatinus (platypus)
Lineage: Eukaryota; Metazoa; Chordata; Mammalia; Monotremata; Ornithorhynchidae
Exons: 2
Source: RefSeq, a predicted model, not a curated record
GGGCGUGUGAAUGGCAGCUGCUCCGUUCUAUAUGAGUCGUCUUUCCUCCUUUCUCUCUUUGUCUUCUCUUUUUCUCACUCUCUGAUCUUGGGUGUGAAUGACCCUGCAGGGCACAGUCCAGCUGCAAAUGGGGCUGGGCCUGGGCUGCAGCAUCUUCUGCCACAAGCAGGGGGGCAGAGUGAGAUAACCCUGAGACCUUACAAGGUUUAUCCUUAGGGCCAAGGAAGGAGCCUGAGUCCCAGGUGCAUCAUGGGAGACCCGGCCCCCGGCCCAUCCUCGCCUCUCUAAGGACAUCUUGGUGUGGACAGGACUGGACAGAAUGGAAGCCACAGCGCAGCCCCGAACCGGACCACCAGGGAACCACCAGGGUCCACGGACAGUGGAGGAAGGACCAGCUACUCACCGGAUGCCAUGGACACUGAUAAAUUGCGCCGGCCCCACUGAGAGGAAAUUUGUUGACACGAGGCUGCUGCCCCCGGCCACCCCCUUCCCAGCCCCUAGCCUGCAAUUGUAUCCCCUCGUUCCAGACAGUGCCAUUUCCUUUGGGAAGUUAAGGGUCAAACACUGCAUCCUGGGUGUCAUAUCAAUCCCUUGCAACUCCAGGAGGGUACGGAGGUGUGUGCAUGUGUGUGUGCCUCACGCGUGAGAGCGAGGGCCGGGACCAGAGCAGGGUCAGAGGGGCCGCCCCUCUUGGGUCGGGUAAAGGGUUAUGGAAACAGGAGUCUAGAGUUUGGGGCCGGUACUCCGUGGGCGGAUCCGAGCGGGUGUGAAGUCGCACUGGGG